Molecule: long non-coding RNA, 1102 nt
Organism: Xenopus laevis (African clawed frog)
Lineage: Eukaryota; Metazoa; Chordata; Amphibia; Anura; Pipidae
Exons: 3
Source: RefSeq, a predicted model, not a curated record
AGGCUGCUGAUACUGUCUCUGCAUAUCACCACAAGGCAAAAGAGAGCGAACAAAUGAAUACUGCCGAAGGUUCUUAGGGAUGCUGCUUUCUUCUUUCCCCAUCACAUCUUCAAAUUAUGACGGCUGAACUGAGGAAUUCCCCGAGGGGCUGUUCAGAACUGGGAAUGAAGGGUUGAUGCUGAAUCCUCGCAGCCUGCAGGGCCGUUUGCAGCUAGGCUUGUGAGAUAUGACGUGUACAGAACCUUCCGCUCAGCAUCAUGACACUUGCUAGUGAUUGUAAAAACGCCAUGAAGGACCUAGGCUAUGCAACAUAAUAUACGUUAACAACUGGGAAACCUAAUAGAGGAACAAAGACAUUUUUCUCUUUACCACGCCCAGCUGAGGUGUUUCAGCUCCACUGUGAUUUAACCUGGAAAUCUCACAAUAAAGCUGUACGCCUUAUCAUUUCACAAUGCCAUGAUUAAUUUGCAGGUGUAUUCUCUUAGCGAAUAUCUUCUUCACAGAGUAUUAAAAAUCUGACAGAAACAUUCUAUAUAUAGAGAAGAUGCUGGAGAUCCCACGAUAAGGCAAGCUGGGACUGCAACAAUGCAGAUAUGUAUCUAGGGCUGUAAAAUUCUAAUUCAAACAGAGUUUAAGUAAUCUGAAUAUAUAAACAUUCCCAUUCUGUUAAUCUGUAAAUCUAGUAGGAAAACAUGUGCUGAGGCAGAUUAUCUGGGGUAUAAAAAUGAAGCUGGUGUCUUUUUAAAAUUUAUAUAGUCAGGUUCCUCAUCUAUCUGGGAAUCUUUAGAGAGAAUAGUUUAUUCUGAAAAUUAUUUUUCAAUUCACUUAAAAAUGUAAGUAUUUUUAAAAAAAUAUUGCAGCAUGUUAAGAAAUUGUAUAUUUACCUGUAAUAUCUGCACUGAGCUCAAAUAUAAAUUGUUUAAAUUCACAGAGCAACAACUAGCUAAUUUCUAGCUGCAACUAAUAUAUAUAUAUAAAUACAAAUGCAUAACUAAAAUACCUUCCUUCAUGUAGUUCAGGCUUUUUUAAAAUGACCGUUGAAUAGUAUAUAUAUAUUGCCCAGAAUAUUAAAUGUUGAAUCUUUACCUGACACAACAGCCUU